AUACGGAGGGUGCAAGCGUUAUUCGGAAUCACUGGGCGUAAAGCGCGCGCAGGCGGCUAUUUAAGUUGGAUGUGAAAGCCUAUGGCUCAACCAUAGAACUGCAUCCAAAACUAUUUAGCUAGAGUGUGGGAGAGGAAGAUGGAAUUAGUUGUGUAGGGGAAAAAUCCGUAGAGAUAACUAGGAAUACCAAAAGCGAAGGCAAUCUUCUGGAACACUACUGACGCUGAGGCGCGAAAGCGUGGGGAGCAAACAGGAUUAGAAACCCUAGUAGUCC
This 274-nucleotide ribosomal RNA is filed under the name uncultured bacterium. Its description in RNAcentral is "partial 16S ribosomal RNA". It matches the Rfam family "Bacterial small subunit ribosomal RNA", at positions 523 to 796 of the family's 1533-position model. The record is from RNAcentral.